Regulatory RNA element from Kocuria rhizophila DC2201, 118 nucleotides. It matches the Rfam family "Glycine riboswitch aptamer". From Rfam's summary of the family: This family represents the bacterial glycine riboswitch. Glycine riboswitches usually consist of two metabolite-binding aptamers domains with similar structures in tandem. The record is from Rfam. NCBI's taxonomy places the organism in Bacteria, Bacillati, Actinomycetota, Actinomycetes, Micrococcales, Micrococcaceae.
CACAGUGCGGCGGGAGAGCGUGGUGGGUCAGGGGCGGGGAACCGUUCGGGACCGCGCCAUCGCCGAAGGAGCAAACCCUCCCCGGGAACCUCUCAGGCACCCGUACCGCCGCACCAGG